This 470-nucleotide ribosomal RNA is filed under the name Selenomonas sp. oral taxon 133. RNAcentral's name for it is "bacterial SSU rRNA". It matches the Rfam family "Bacterial small subunit ribosomal RNA", at positions 28 to 477 of the family's 1533-position model. Lineage: Bacteria; Bacillati; Bacillota; Negativicutes; Selenomonadales; Selenomonadaceae. The record is from RNAcentral.
GACGAACGCUGGCGGCGUGCUUAACACAUGCAAGUCGAACGGAGCGAAUGAAAGCUUGCUUUUAUGAGCUUAGUGGCAAACGGGUGAGUAACACGUAGACAACCUGCCGAUCAGAUGGGGACAACAUUCCGAAAGGAAUGCUAAUACCGAAUGGUGUGCGAGGGAGGCAUCUCCCCCGCAUGAAAGAUGGCCAAUACAUGUAAGCUAUCACUGAUCGAUGGGUCUGCGUCUGAUUAGCUGGUAGGUAAGGUAACGGCUUACCUAGGCGACGAUCAGUAGCCGGUCUGAGAGGAUGAACGGCCACAUUGGGACUGAGACACGGCCCAGACUCCUACGGGAGGCAGCAGUGGGGAAUCUUCCGCAAUGGGCGCAAGCCUGACGGAGCAACGCCGCGUGAGUGAAGAAGGUCUUCGGAUCGUAAAGCUCUGUUGAAGGGGACGAACGUGUAUAGUGCAAAUAGUGCUAUAUAA